AGAUCCCUUCUGCUGGAUGGCAAUCUUAAAGGAUGCUGAUGGGAAAUCCCAGGAAGCUGGUCUCUGAUCUGAGUCGCACCGCUGGUGCAGGGAAGUGCUCUGUCACAUGCAGGCAUGGCACGGGGUGUUCCCUGCAGCUUGGCACGUACCGAAGUCAAUAGCCCUCAGCAGGAACUUGCAUUCAGUAUUAUGCUGUCUAAGAGGCUUAAAAUUGACUAUGAAGUUUCAGUAGACCUACAAAAAACCUGUUUUCAGUUUGUCAACUGGUAGCUUGCUCCAGAUGGAGACAGUGCAAUCUGGUGGUUGAUUCUUGGAAUCUGACUAGUGCAUCUGUGCUGGCAUAUUUAGAAUCAUGUUGUGUAAUAUGAAAAGCAGUCGUUCAUUUCAUUCAUUUGAAGUUGUCUUGCGGAAAUGGCAGCUGCCCAGACAAAUGCCACAUGAAGAUGAAAAUGUGACAGAGAGCCCAGGACUGUGCAGCAGAAAUAAUGGUGCAGUUUUGCAUCCACCAGGAAGCCACUGUGAUCCAUCUCGGUCUCCGUAGCUUAUUGCAGAUUCUUAUACCAGCUCCUGAUAGACACCAGUUGCUGUAGCCAAAACCAGCACUCCAAUUGGCCAAAGGAGGAGUAGCAUGCUUGCACAAACCUGCUGGAAAACUACCUAACUGUUGCUAGUCUUAGAAGCAGGUUAAGGUUUAAAGCUGCAAAUGCUGUUGGAGGAGGACUUGGCAUAACAGUCUACAGGAGCCACCAGCCCAGGAGCUGCAGUGGCUGCAAGGGUCUCCUCUGGCCAGUAUUGUGUAUCUCUUCUUCGACUUGGCUGGAGCGUAAAUGAGUUUCCUGAGCUCAGUGGGGCUUAAGGGCAAGCUUGGAGGAACAAGCAUGAUGAUAAAGACAGCUGGAGUCAUGGCUGAGGCCGAUAGCAGGCAAAGCUCACAGUUACCUCAAAAGUCCCAACUGAGUCUUCCAGGAGCAUGCAGGGGGCCCGCAUCAGUGUGUGGCUGUACAGCUCUGCCCAGGUCUUCAGUGCUCCAUCUCCUUCACCACCAGCCUCCCAUGCUGUGCAUGAGUGCUCUUCAGAACAGGUCCCGUGUCUUCUCUUUCUUAGCCCUACACAAGGCUCUCCUAUUUCCACAGCAGAGCUGUGCAGUGAGACUCACACUGGCAGGGACAGUUGAUCAGGCUCUGCCCACAUGGCCCUGAGAAGGCAAGAACCAUCGCUGGUGUGAAGAGGUACAGGAGAGUGGGGAAAAGGCUGACAAUGAUCUCUCAGCUGUAGAGCCCAGAGAGCAAGCAAUGCUCCUCCAGAUGGAUGAAGAGCUGCUCCAACAGCCAAAACCAUCUCUGUGGGGCUGGGGGAUCCUGGGCUGUGAACAGUGCAAUGGCAGAAGGCAGUGCUUGGUGGGUGCCUGUCCUACACAUACCACAGCAAGCACUUGAAGUCUGUGACAGCAAAAGUUGGAUAUGAUUAGAGGUGGCUGUAAACUGGUUUAUGUACUCUGCAAAAACAAAACAAAACUCACCAAAUAUAAAUGGUCAAAUACUUCCUAGAAAACUGCCCAAAUGUUCCCCAAUGUAACUGUGCAGGUGUAGGCAGAGCUGUUGUGGCAAACAGCCCUGGGAGCUCCUGCAGUUCUGCUGUCUCUUUACACUCUGUCCCUCCUCACUACUGCUUAAGCAUCAUGUCUUGCUCUGUGACCAGCUCCAGAGGACAGGACUCAGGAGUGUGCUGGCUGAGACAUUCCUCGCUCAGUACAGGUGGGUGCACAGAGCCAGCUCCAUUGCCUGUGGCAAACGUAGGCAAUGUGGGCCUGUGACUUGGGACCUCCCCAUUCCCUCUGGGGAGCAGGAGCAGAACAGCAUUGUCCCUCCUGCUCAGUGUCCUCUGGAGGCCUGGAGCAUGUGCCUCAGACAGGACCCUGUGUUCCAGACUCACCAGGCUGAGCAGGACCCCAUGUAUCUCCGAUGUGGGAGCAGCUGACUUCCAGCUGGGUCCAUAGUGCUGCGCAUCCCUUAGACUCCCCUACCACGUCCGAGUCCCCUCAGGAGCUUCCUGGGCAGCCCCAAAGGUCCCAGGGACCCUUUGCACUCCACACUGCCAGGCACCAGUGCCCUGUGCUGGCACCACCAUAGAGGUGCCCCCUGACUCGCAGGGGUACAAGUGCCCUCGACCUGGUGAGAACAAAGCGCAGGUUGUUGCACUGAUGUUGGCUGCUGACACAGCAGCAAACUGUGCUGGACACUCUGGCACCUCAUCACAGAGGGGACUGGGACACAGGCUUCUGCUGCUGUCACUGCCAGCUAAGAGCGAGUGUUGUUCAGAAUGGGCUAGUCUAUGAAGGCUCACCUGCAUCCCGGCACUGCGUGCAGAGGGACGGUUACUGACUCACCACUGUGAAUUUUUAAGCAAGGCUUUUUGGACACAGCUCUUUAAAAAAGGAGAACAGACUGGCACAGACAGGGCAGGAUCAGCCCCUGCAAAGGAGCCUUGAGCAGUGAAGGGAAGAAAACUCUGCUAUCAGCUGAAGUCUGUCUAGUGCACUGUCUCAUCUCUGCCACUGUCUCAUCUCUGCCAGUAGCCAAGAACUGCUCUCUCAGUCAGUGUAAAAAGAAGAUGCACAUACCAUGGUGCUGCUCAAACUCCUCUGCCAGACUCCAGGGAUCCACAGCUCAGGCUUCAGAAGCAAGUGGGGUCUUGGGUUUAGUCAAGACUCUUGACCAUGCUACUCGUAAUUUAUGCCUGUUGAUGGUCCUCCCCAGCCAAACAGAGUGUGCUGCAGACGGUGCUCAGUGGGUUGAGACUAGAGCCACCAGCGUCCUGCCAACACCCCGAACUGGGAAUCACCACUGGGACCGCAAGGAAUAACCUUUAAGGCUCAUUAAAAUUCCACUAACGCAAA
Strigops habroptila (Kakapo) is the source of this 2896-nucleotide long non-coding RNA. RefSeq lists it as uncharacterized. Lineage: Eukaryota; Metazoa; Chordata; Aves; Psittaciformes; Psittacidae. The transcript has 2 exons. The record is from RefSeq and is a predicted model, not a curated record.